This 395-nucleotide long non-coding RNA is filed under the name Parus major (Great Tit). Its description in RNAcentral is "lncRNA (ENSPMJG00000005836.1)". The record is from RNAcentral. Lineage: Eukaryota; Metazoa; Chordata; Aves; Passeriformes; Paridae.
AUUGGCAUGGCGGUAGCCUCUGAAUAUUUCUGUUGACUGAUGGCAGACCAUCGUGAGUUUAUCUCCCUAGCCUGAGCUAAAGCACUGUAAUGUUACCCGGUCACUGAGAGAGAUUUCAGCAUUGUGGUCUAAAACAGUGUUUCAGAGCAAAUAGCCAAGGCUCUGGAAUGUGCUUGACAACAUCUGUGUGCCAACAGAAGUACCACACUUGCACUUGCUCAGUGAUUUAAUAAACCAGUUAAUGCAAAUACUGUGAAUUUAAUGUUCUGGAGAAGGUAACUUGUGAGAAAAGGUUGGAGUGCGUGUACAGGUGGGGUCGUGUUUUCAGACCACAGAUACCAAAGUGGGAUCCUCUGCAGGCACUAAGCCAGGAGAGUGGAGCAGGAGGAGGGUGA